CGCAGGGAAACCGAGUCUUAACCGGGCGUUAAGUUGCAGGGUAUAGACCCGAAACCCGGUGAUCUAGCCAUGGGCAGGUUGAAGGUUGGGUAACACUAACUGGAGGACCGAACCGACUAAUGUUGAAAAAUUAGCGGAUGACCUGUGGCUGGGGGUGAAAGGCCAAUCAAACCGGGAGAUAGCUGGUUCUCCCCGAAAGCUAUUUAGGUAGCGCCUCGUGAACUCAUCUUCGGGGGUAGAGCACUGUUUCGGCUAGGGGGUCAUCCCGACUUACCAACCCGAUGCAAACUGCGAAUACCGGAGAAUGUUAUCACGGGAGACACACGGCGGGUGCUAACGUCCGUCGUGAAGAGGGAAACAACCCAGACCGCCAGCUAAGGUCCCAAAGUCAUGGUUAAGUGGGAAACGAUGUGGGAAGGCCCAGACAGCCAGGAUGUUGGCUUAGAAGCAGCCAUCAUUUAAAGAAAGCGUAAUAGCUCACUGGUCGAGUCGGCCUGCGCGGAAGAUGUAACGGGGCUAAACCAUGCACCGAAGCUGCGGCAGCGACGCUUAUGCGUUGUUGGGUAGGGGAGCGUUCUGUAAGCCGUUGAAGGUGGCCUGUGAGGGUUGCUGGAGGUAUCAGAAGUGCGAAUGCUGACAUAAGUAACGAUAAAGCGGGUGAAAAGCCCGCUCGCCGGAAGACCAAGGGUUCCUGUCCAACGUUAAUCGGGGCAGGGUGAGUCGACCCCUAAGGCGAGGCCGAAAGGCGUAGUCGAUGGGAAACAGGUUAAUAUUCCUGUACUCGGUGUUACUGCGAAGGGGGGACGGAGAAGGCUAUGUUGGCCGGGCGACGGUUGUCCCGGUUUAAGCAUGUAGGCGGGUGUUCCAGGUAAAUCCGGAACGCUGUUAACGCUGAGGUGUGAUGACGAGGCACUACGGUGCUGAAGCAACAAAUGCCCUGCUUCCAGGAAAAGCCUCUAAGCAUCAGGUAACAUCAAAUCGUACCCCAAACCGACACAGGUGGUCAGGUAGAGAAUACCAAGGCGCUUGAGAGAACUCGGGUGAAGGAACUAGGCAAAAUGGUGCCGUAACUUCGGGAGAAGGCACGCUGAUGGUAGGUGAAGUGAUUUACUCAUGGAGCUGAAAUCAGUCGAAGAUACCAGCUGGCUGCAACUGUUUAUUAAAAACACAGCACUGUGCAAACACGAAAGUGGACGUAUACGGUGUGACGCCUGCCCGGUGCCGGAAGGUUAAUUGAUGGGGUUAUCCUCGCGGAGAAGCUC
Molecule: ribosomal RNA, 1262 nt
Filed under: Salmonella enterica
Lineage: Bacteria; Pseudomonadati; Pseudomonadota; Gammaproteobacteria; Enterobacterales; Enterobacteriaceae
Description: partial 23S ribosomal RNA
Rfam family: Bacterial large subunit ribosomal RNA
Source: RNAcentral